RNAcentral lists this ribosomal RNA (2931 nucleotides) under Escherichia coli. RNAcentral's name for it is "23S ribosomal RNA". It matches the Rfam family "Bacterial large subunit ribosomal RNA". Lineage: Bacteria; Pseudomonadati; Pseudomonadota; Gammaproteobacteria; Enterobacterales; Enterobacteriaceae. The record is from RNAcentral.
GGGUUGUGAGGUUAAGCGACUAAGCGUACACGGUGGAUGCCCUGGCAGUCAGAGGCGAUGAAGGACGUGCUAAUCUGCGAUAAGCGUCGGUAAGGUGAUAUGAACCGUUAUAACCGGCGAUUUCCGAAUGGGGAAACCCAGUGUGAUUCGUCACACUAUCAUUAACUGAAUCCAUAGGUUAAUGAGGCGAACCGGGGGAACUGAAACAUCUAAGUACCCCGAGGAAAAGAAAUCAACCGAGAUUCCCCCAGUAGCGGCGAGCGAACGGGGAGCAGCCCAGAGCCUGAAUCAGUGUGUGUGUUAGUGGAAGCGUCUGGAAAGGCGCGCGAUACAGGGUGACAGCCCCGUACACAAAAAUGCACAUGCUGUGAGCUCGAUGAGUAGGGCGGGACACGUGGUAUCCUGUCUGAAUAUGGGGGGACCAUCCUCCAAGGCUAAAUACUCCUGACUGACCGAUAGUGAACCAGUACCGUGAGGGAAAGGCGAAAAGAACCCCGGCGAGGGGAGUGAAAAAGAACCUGAAACCGUGUACGUACAAGCAGUGGGAGCACGCUUAGGCGUGUGACUGCGUACCUUUUGUAUAAUGGGUCAGCGACUUAUAUUCUGUAGCAAGGUUAACCGAAUAGGGGAGCCGAAGGGAAACCGAGUCUUAACUGGGCGUUAAGUUGCAGGGUAUAGACCCGAAACCCGGUGAUCUAGCCAUGGGCAGGUUGAAGGUUGGGUAACACUAACUGGAGGACCGAACCGACUAAUGUUGAAAAAUUAGCGGAUGACUUGUGGCUGGGGGUGAAAGGCCAAUCAAACCGGGAGAUAGCUGGUUCUCCCCGAAAGCUAUUUAGGUAGCGCCUCGUGAAUUCAUCUCCGGGGGUAGAGCACUGUUUCGGCAAGGGGGUCAUCCCGACUUACCAACCCGAUGCAAACUGCGAAUACCGGAGAAUGUUAUCACGGGAGACACACGGCGGGUGCUAACGUCCGUCGUGAAGAGGGAAACAACCCAGACCGCCAGCUAAGGUCCCAAAGUCAUGGUUAAGUGGGAAACGAUGUGGGAAGGCCCAGACAGCCAGGAUGUUGGCUUAGAAGCAGCCAUCAUUUAAAGAAAGCGUAAUAGCUCACUGGUCGAGUCGGCCUGCGCGGAAGAUGUAACGGGGCUAAACCAUGCACCGAAGCUGCGGCAGCGACGCUUAUGCGUUGUUGGGUAGGGGAGCGUUCUGUAAGCCUGUGAAGGUGUACUGUGAGGUAUGCUGGAGGUAUCAGAAGUGCGAAUGCUGACAUAAGUAACGAUAAAGCGGGUGAAAAGCCCGCUCGCCGGAAGACCAAGGGUUCCUGUCCAACGUUAAUCGGGGCAGGGUGAGUCGACCCCUAAGGCGAGGCCGAAAGGCGUAGUCGAUGGGAAACAGGUUAAUAUUCCUGUACUUGGUGUUACUGCGAAGGGGGGACGGAGAAGGCUAUGUUGGCCGGGCGACGGUUGUCCCGGUUUAAGCGUGUAGGCUGGUUUUCCAGGCAAAUCCGGAAAAUCAAGGCUGAGGCGUGAUGACGAGGCACUACGGUGCUGAAGCAACAAAUGCCCUGCUUCCAGGAAAAGCCUCUAAGCAUCAGGUAACAUCAAAUCGUACCCCAAACCGACACAGGUGGUCAGGUAGAGAAUACCAAGGCGCUUGAGAGAACUCGGGUGAAGGAACUAGGCAAAAUGGUGCCGUAACUUCGGGAGAAGGCACGCUGAUAUGUAGGUGAAGUCCCUCGCGGAUGGAGCUGAAAUCAGUCGAAGAUACCAGCUGGCUGCAACUGUUUAUUAAAAACACAGCACUGUGCAAACACGAAAGUGGACGUAUACGGUGUGACGCCUGCCCGGUGCCGGAAGGUUAAUUGAUGGGGUUAGCGCAAGCGAAGCUCUUGAUCGAAGCCCCGGUAAACGGCGGCCGUAACUAUAACGGUCCUAAGGUAGCGAAAUUCCUUGUCGGGUAAGUUCCGACCUGCACGAAUGGCGUAAUGAUGGCCAGGCUGUCUCCACCCGAGACUCAGUGAAAUUGAACUCGCUGUGAAGAUGCAGUGUACCCGCGGCAAGACGGAAAGACCCCGUGAACCUUUACUAUAGCUUGACACUGAACAUUGAGCCUUGAUGUGUAGGAUAGGUGGGAGGCUUUGAAGUGUGGACGCCAGUCUGCAUGGAGCCGACCUUGAAAUACCACCCUUUAAUGUUUGAUGUUCUAACGUUGACCCGUAAUCCGGGUUGCGGACAGUGUCUGGUGGGUAGUUUGACUGGGGCGGUCUCCUCCUAAAGAGUAACGGAGGAGCACGAAGGUUGGCUAAUCCUGGUCGGACAUCAGGAGGUUAGUGCAAUGGCAUAAGCCAGCUUGACUGCGAGCGUGACGGCGCGAGCAGGUGCGAAAGCAGGUCAUAGUGAUCCGGUGGUUCUGAAUGGAAGGGCCAUCGCUCAACGGAUAAAAGGUACUCCGGGGAUAACAGGCUGAUACCGCCCAAGAGUUCAUAUCGACGGCGGUGUUUGGCACCUCGAUGUCGGCUCAUCACAUCCUGGGGCUGAAGUAGGUCCCAAGGGUAUGGCUGUUCGCCAUUUAAAGUGGUACGCGAGCUGGGUUUAGAACGUCGUGAGACAGUUCGGUCCCUAUCUGCCGUGGGCGCUGGAGAACUGAGGGGGGCUGCUCCUAGUACGAGAGGACCGGAGUGGACGCAUCACUGGUGUUCGGGUUGUCAUGCCAAUGGCACUGCCCGGUAGCUAAAUGCGGAAGAGAUAAGUGCUGAAAGCAUCUAAGCACGAAACUUGCCCCGAGAUGAGUUCUCCCUGACUCCUUGAGAGUCCUGAAGGAACGUUGAAGACGACGACGUUGAUAGGCCGGAUGUGUAAGCGCAGCGAUGCGUUGAGCUAACCGGUACUAAUGAACCGUGAGGCUUAACCUUACAACGCCGAAGGUGUUU